UAGUGGCGUACGGGUGAGUAACACGUGGGUAACCUGCCCUUGAGACCGGGAUACCCUCUCGAAAGGGAGGCUAAUACUGGAUACGUUCCCCGGGGCGCAAGACCUGGGGAGGAAAGGUGGCGAAAGCUGCCGCUCUUGGAGGGGCUCGCGGCCUAUCAGCUAGUUGGUGAGGUAACGGCUCACCAAGGCUAUGACGGGUAGCUGGUCUGAGAGGACGACCAGCCACACGGGAACUGAGACACGGUCCCGACUCCUACGGGAGGCAGCAGUGGGGAAUUUUCCGCAAUGGGCGAAAGCCUGACGGAGUGACGCCGCGUGGGGGACGAAGGCCUUCGGGUUGUAAACCCCUGUCAGAGGGAAAGAAGGGUGUCGGCGUGAAUAGCGCCGGCAUCUGACGGUACCUUCAGAGGAAGCCCCGGCCAACUCUGUGCCAGCAGCCGCGGUAAGACAGAGGGGGCAAGCGUUGCUCGGAAUCACUGGGCGUAAAGGGCGCGUAGGCGGGAUGGCAAGUCGGUCGUGAAAUCCUUCGGCUCAACCGAAGAACGUCGGCCGAUACUGCCGUUCUUGAGGGAUGCAGAGGAGAUUGGAAUUCCCGGUGUAGCGGUGAAAUGUGUAGAGAUCGGGAGGAACACCGGUGGCGAAGGCGGGUCUCUGGGCAUCUCC
This 663-nucleotide ribosomal RNA is filed under the name uncultured bacterium. RNAcentral describes it as "bacterial SSU rRNA". It matches the Rfam family "Bacterial small subunit ribosomal RNA", at positions 93 to 740 of the family's 1533-position model. The record is from RNAcentral.